This is an RNA transcript of Cornus florida, 1602 nucleotides long. RefSeq lists it as uncharacterized. Lineage: Eukaryota; Viridiplantae; Streptophyta; Magnoliopsida; Cornales; Cornaceae. The record is from RefSeq and is a predicted model, not a curated record. The transcript has 8 exons.
UGAAUCAUAACAUCAUUUUUUAUUUUUAUGUUUUGUGUGGAGAAGUUGCUUUGAUAGCAGGAAUAUCUUUGAUGCAACUACAAGUUGUUUGAGAUCCAUCAUGAACAAGGAUGUCCUUCUGCCUUUUGAGGUUGGACAAGUGGCUGAAUCAAGAUCAUUUCAGUCAGGGUAUCGUGGUGCGUGGUUCCGAUGCAAGAUAAAAGAGAUUGGCUGGAGACAAGGGCAUAUUGGGCAUGCCUUGGAAUUUGUUGAUUUCCCCGAUGAAAAAAUAAAUUGGACAAGGUUAUAUCAAGUUCCCCCAACUAAUGGUAGGAAGUCAAAGGUGAUAAAAAGGCAACUGAUGGUGCGUCCACGGUAUCCUCCUAUCAUCUAUCAUGAAAGUGAAAUUCCUAAUGUCAAGACCGAUUCAGAAGUGGCAGUUAUCGUUGAUGGUGCCUGGAAAGUAGGGGACUUAAUUGAUUGGUGGACUACUGAUUGUUAUUGGUGUGGACGAGUGACUCAAAUUUUGGGCAACGACAAGGUUCAGAUUUAUUUGCUACCGCCUCCUCUGGGUGAAGGUUUAUCAUAUGAAGUUUUCUGCAAGGAUCUACGCCCAUCCUUGGAUUGGUCUCCAGAAUGUGGUUGGACAGUGCCUACUCCAAUGGCUCGGCUGAUUCAGGAUGAUGAAAACUUUCAUCCUUGUGCUCGGCUGAUUCAGCUGGUGAAUCAAGAGAAGUCAUUACCAGCUCUGGAUGAAGCAAAGCUGUCUGUACCAAGGGACGUGCUGAAACAACCGUUAAGCAUCCCUGUUUCCAAGGAGGCGAUGCACAUGCCAGAAACAAAUACGGAAACUGAAGGGCAUGCUGGGGAAGACCUUUAUUAUCGCGAGGAUUCCUCAAAGAAGAUGAGAACUGGUGGAAGCAUUUCCAUAAAUUCUAUGUGCUCUGACACUUUAGAAGCCGCAAUUAUGGAUUUGGAGGAACUUGCAAAUAGGGUCAAAUGGCUUAGGAGCAUUCUAGAAUUUGGAAUUCCUUUGUCCAAUGCCGUGAGACCUCCAUGGAAGUUUGUGGAACACCGUGCAUCAUCUGCACCAAAAUGAGUGAUUAAAGAAACGCAAGCCUCCAGCAACAUCUUGGUUCUCUGGUCAAGCAAGCAAUCUCUCUCCUCUGCUUAGUAUUUCAUAAACCUUUUGUGGUGGUGUUGGUUGGAUUUCUGAUUUGAUUGAAGAGAUUACUGGACGCAGCAUCGUCUACUGAAAGAAUGUUCCAGUUGUGCAUGGGGAGAACCUUACAGAUGUAUCAUGAUUCUGAUUGAAAAGUAUGUCAUUUCUUGUAGCUACUUCUGUGCAGUCAGACUUGUGAGUGCUCUAUUUCAGUCUGGUAUCACUUCCUUUUUCAUUUUUUUUUUCCCUUUUAAAAUUUCCUUGUGUAAGCUCCACGUGUCAAUGUGCAAAAUUGUAUCUAAGGGUUCUUAUUUCGGAUUCAGUCAAAAAUUGCUACGUGGGACUUGUACUGAAUUCUAUAGUGCCAUUUUAGCAUGAAGUUCUAAAAUAAUGGCACUUGAGGGUUUCAAAUAUGGCCUCUAUUGAUUCUUCUAAUGUAGUAUUACCAAAAUUUCCAUUGA